CCCUCCGGCUCCAUGGUACAGCACUUGCUUAACGUCAUCAUGAGGCCCUGGGUUCGAUCCCCAGCGAGGAA
Molecule: transfer RNA, 71 nt
Filed under: Marmota monax (woodchuck)
Lineage: Eukaryota; Metazoa; Chordata; Mammalia; Rodentia; Sciuridae
Description: tRNA.Val
Source: RNAcentral